Molecule: ribosomal RNA, 473 nt
Filed under: uncultured Chryseobacterium sp.
Lineage: Bacteria; Pseudomonadati; Bacteroidota; Flavobacteriia; Flavobacteriales; Weeksellaceae
Description: partial 16S ribosomal RNA
Rfam family: Bacterial small subunit ribosomal RNA
Source: RNAcentral
UAGUUUGRWUCCUGGCUCAGGAUGAWCGCUAGCGGGAGGCCUAACACAUGCAAGCCGAGCGGUAGAGUAUCUUCGGAUACUUGAGAGCGGCGUACGGGUGCGGAACACGUGUGCAACCUGCCUUUAUCAGGGGGAUAGCCUUUCGAAAGGAAGAUUAAUACCCCAUAAUAUUUAGGAUGGCAUCAUUUUAAAUUGAAAACUGAGGUGGAUAAAGAUGGGCACGCGCAAGAUUAGAUAGUUGGUAGGGUAACGGCCUACCAAGUCGAUGAUCUUUAGGGGGCCUGAGAGGGUGAUCCCCCACACUGGUASUGAGACACGGACCAGACUCCUACGGGAGGCAGCAGUGAGGAAUAUUGGRCAAYGGGKGAGARCCUGAUCCARCCAUCCCGCGUGAAGGACGACGGCCCUAUGGGUUGUAAACUUCUUUUGUAUAGGGAUAAACCUUUCCACGUGKGAAAGMUGAAGGUACWWWU